Molecule: long non-coding RNA, 851 nt
Organism: Mus musculus (house mouse)
Lineage: Eukaryota; Metazoa; Chordata; Mammalia; Rodentia; Muridae
Product: RIKEN cDNA A430105J06 gene
Exons: 3
Source: RefSeq, marked validated
GUCCCGCCUGAAGUUCCGCUGUGGGAGCCUCGGAAGCUGGGUUCCGAGUUAGAAACCGCAUUCCGAACCCACUGAAUCGAGACUCUCCGAGAAGGAAUGGAUAACAAGGGAACAGCUACGGAAUCAGAAAGCAAGCUCAACUCUUAACAUGUUCUUGUGCUGGUUUGGCUUUUGUUCUGUUGUUGUUGUUGUUGUUGUUGUUGUUGGCUAUUGUUCUGUUGUUGUUGUUGUUGUUGUUGUUGUUGUUUUUCCCCUAAGGACCAAGCACGGUGUUUUUGAAUGGACGUUUCUGGAUUUUGAUAGAUCUGAGAGGCUGCCCGGGUGAGGAAACCGAGGCUGAACAAAGGUUAUUGUUGAGAAAUCACACAGGCAGUGAAUGGUAGAAUGGACUGAGACUGGAGCCCCAGUGUUGACUCAGCCAUUGACACGCAAGCCUGCUUAUACUGUCUCACUUUUACAAAUCAUGAAUAAAAAUAAGAAAUGAAUAUUUCAGGCAGGCACUGGAAUUCACAACUUAGAAGACAAACGUCUUCUCUUAUGAUGAUCCACAUAAUAAAAAAGACUCAAGAAGAAGAUCCACUGUCACUCUUACUGGCAAGCCCCAUGCCCAGGAGGAGACCAGGAGCGCAAGACCAGCUCGAUGACAUUUUCGUUUUGUCCCAUUCCAAUUCGUGUCCAUUGACUCAUUUCACUACUAUUUCUUAGAUGCUUGUUUUCUAUGAGAGAAGGGUGUGAUUAGGGUGGGAGGGGAGAGGGGAAGAGAUGGGGGAGGAGAAACUGUCAUCAGAAUGUACUGUAUCGAAAAGAAAACCAACAACCUAUUUUCAAUAAAAAUAAAAGGGGGAGAGAAA